Molecule: ribosomal RNA, 492 nt
Filed under: uncultured bacterium
Lineage: Bacteria
Description: partial 16S ribosomal RNA
Rfam family: Bacterial small subunit ribosomal RNA
Source: RNAcentral
AGUGAACGCUGGCGGUAGGCCUAACACAUGCGAGUCGAACGGCAGCACAGUAAGAGCUUGCUCUUACGGGUGGCGAGUGGCGGACGGGUGAGGAAUACAUCGGAAUCUACUUUUUCGUGGGGGAUAACGUAGGGAAACUUACGCUAAUACCGCAUACGACCUACGGGUGAAAGCGGGGGAUCUUCGGACCUUGCGCGAUUGAAUGAGCCGAUGUCGGAUUAGCUAGUUGGCGGGGUAAAGGCCCACCAAGGCGACGAUCCGUAGCUGGUCUGAGAGGAUGAUCAGCCACACUGGAACUGAGACACGGUCCAGACUCCUACGGGAGGCAGCAGUGGGGAAUAUUGGACAAUGGGCGCAAGCCUGAUCCAGCCAUACCGCGUGGGUGAAGAAGGCCUUCGGGUUGUAAAGCCCUUUUGUUGGGAAAGAAAAGCAGCAGGUUAAUACCCCGCUGUUCUGACGGUACCCAAAGAAUAAGCACCGGCUAACUUCGUG